UGGGGAAUAUUGGACAAUGGGCGAAAGCCUGAUCCAGCCAUGCCGCGUGUGUGAAGAAGGUCUUCGGAUUGUAAAGCACUUUAAGUUGGGAGGAAGGGUUGUAGAUUAAUACUCUGCAAUUUUGACGUUACCGACAGAAUAAGCACCGGCUAACUCUGUGCCAGCAGCCGCGGUAAUACAGAGGGUGCAAGCGUUAAUCGGAAUUACUGGGCGUAAAGCGCGCGUAGGUGGUUUGUUAAGUUGGAUGUGAAAGCCCCGGGCUCAACCUGGGAACUGCAUUCAAAACUGACAAGCUAGAGUAUGGUAGAGGGUGGUGGAAUUUCCUGUGUAGCGGUGAAAUGCGUAGAUAUAGGAAGGAACACCAGUGGCGAAGGCGACCACCUGGACUGAUACUGACACUGAGGUGCGAAAGCGUGGGGAGCAAACAG
This 428-nucleotide ribosomal RNA is filed under the name uncultured bacterium. RNAcentral describes it as "bacterial SSU rRNA". It matches the Rfam family "Bacterial small subunit ribosomal RNA", at positions 355 to 775 of the family's 1533-position model. The record is from RNAcentral.